AUUCCCUUGCAUGAGUACAAGGUCCCUUUUAGCUUGAUCUAGGCUUAAUACUCUAUUAUAGCAUGAAAUCCCUUAUUUUCCACCCGGAUGAACAGUAAUCCGGACCGACAGCCGGUUACUUCAUCCCGAGUUUGAUCCACUUUCAGGACUCCAAAUUUGAUGAAAUUUUUACCUAACAUUCUACACUCAUAGAGGAUUCCAAAAGAUAACAUGCAUCAUCAUCGGAGGCCGUUUGACCCCCUAAAUAAUUCGCCGAAAUUGAAACUUCGACACAGUUUUUCCGUAGUGCCGGAAAAAUUUGUCGAAAUCCGAUUCUUCCUCUUUUAACCACCUCUACAACCCUUAUCUGACCCCUCUAGACUACAUCCACCCUUUGUAUAGCCUAAUAUCAUCAAAAGACUAGGUAGGGAUGGAUAUUUACCUUUUUCUUUUUGGAAAUCGAGGUCCUUGCGUAGAGGAGAAGGAGAUCUACGUUUUUCCC
This 481-nucleotide long non-coding RNA is filed under the name Phoenix dactylifera (date palm). RNAcentral's name for it is "long non-coding RNA (PDAC_LNC021758)". Lineage: Eukaryota; Viridiplantae; Streptophyta; Magnoliopsida; Arecales; Arecaceae. The record is from RNAcentral.